This 895-nucleotide ribosomal RNA is filed under the name uncultured bacterium. RNAcentral's name for it is "bacterial SSU rRNA". It matches the Rfam family "Bacterial small subunit ribosomal RNA", at positions 21 to 906 of the family's 1533-position model. The record is from RNAcentral.
GGCUCAGAACGACCGCUGGCGGCGUGGAUUAGGCAUGCAAGUCGAGCGAGAAAGGGGUCUUCGGACCCUGAGUAAAGCGGCGAACUGGUGAGUAACAGGUGGGUAACGUGCCCCGAAGUGGGGGAUAACACGCGGAAACGCGUGCUAAUACCGCAUAUGACCCCUCGGACCCUGGUCUGAGUGGUUAAAGACUUUGGUCGCUACGGGAUCGGCCCGCCCCCGAUUAGCUAGUUGGUGAGGUAAUGGCUCACCAAGGCGACGAUCGGUAGCUGGUCUGAGAGGAUGGUCAGCCACACUGGAACUGAGAUACGGUCCAGACUCCUACGGGGGGCAGCAGUCUAGAGGCUUCGGCAAUGGGGGCAACCCUGACCGAGCGACGCCGCGUGUGGGAUUGAAGGCCCUCGGGUCGUAAACCACUGUCAAGAGGAAAGAAUACCCGAAUGGUGAAUUCGGGGGAGACGGUACCUCUGAAGGAAGCCCCGGCUAACUCCGUGCCAGCAGCCGCGGUAAUACGGAGGGGGCAAGCGUUGUUCGGAUUUACUGGGCAUAAAGGGUGUGUAGGCGGUCGCGUAAGUCUGGUGUGAAAUCUUCGCCGCUUAACGGGAAGGGUGCACUGGAAACUACGUGACUCGAGUGUGGUAGAGGCAGGCGGAAUUCCUGGUGUAGCGGUGGAAUGUGUAGAUAUCAGGAAGAACACCGGUGGCGAAGGCGGCCUGCUGGGCCACCACUGACGCUGAAACACGAAAGCGUGGGGAGCAAACGGGAUUAGAUACCCCGGUAGUCCACGCUGUAAACUGUGCGCACUAGGUGUGGGAGGUAUCGACCCCUCCCGUGCCGCAGUUAAUACAUUAAGUGCGCCGCCUGGGAAGUACGGCCGCAAGGUUGAAACUCAAAG